Molecule: non-coding RNA, 908 nt
Filed under: Scinax tsachila
Lineage: Eukaryota; Metazoa; Chordata; Amphibia; Anura; Hylidae
Description: partial 12S ribosomal RNA
Rfam family: Bacterial small subunit ribosomal RNA
Source: RNAcentral
UGGCCUUAUAAUCAAUUAUUUCUCAACUUACACAUGCAAGUAUCCGCAUCCCUGUGAAAAUGCCCUCAAANCCCCUUCAGGGGUCAGGAGCUGGUAUCAGGCUCGAUCCUCAGCCCAUGACACCUAGCUAUGCCACACCCACAAGGGUACACAGCAGUGAUUAACAUUGACCAUAAGCGCAAGCUUGACUCAGUCAGAGUAAGUAGAGCCGGCAAAUCUGGUGCCAGCCGCCGCGGCCACACCAGGNNGGCUCAAACUGAUUAUAUUCGGCGUAAAGCGUGAUUAAAGCCAACUUAAACUGCAGUUAAACUGGAGCUAAACUGUANAAAUCCAUGANAUCCAGGAAACACAAAAACGAAAGUCACUGCAAUAAAAUCCACUUGACCUCACGACAGUUAGGACACAAACUGGGAUUAGAUACCCCACUAUGCCUUACCGUAAACUUUAACUUACACCAAAAUCGCCAGGGAACUACGAGCAAUGCUUAAAACCCAAAGGACUUGACGGUGCCCCAUANCCACCUAGAGGAGCCUGUCCUAUAAUCGAUGACCCCCGUUCAACCUCACCACUCUUUGNCCCAUCAGUCUGUAUACCUCCGUCGUCAGCUUACCACGUGAGCGACUUNCAGUAAGCAAAAAGGUCCCNCCACCAAAACGUCAGGUCAAGGUGCAGCUUACGCAGUGGAAAGAGAUGGGCUACACUCUCUAAUAUAGAACACACGAAAGACUAUUAAUGAAAUUUUAGUCAGAAGGCGGAUUUAGCAGUAAAACGAGACAAGAGAGCUCNGCUUAAACACNGGCCCUGGGGNUGUGUACACACCGCCCGUCACCCUCUUCGAAACCNCCUUAAAAUAGUAUUUANACACCACAUCUUUUAUAAAGAAGAGGCANAGUCGUAACAUGGUAAGC